RNAcentral lists this ribosomal RNA (433 nucleotides) under uncultured bacterium. RNAcentral's name for it is "partial 16S ribosomal RNA". It matches the Rfam family "Bacterial small subunit ribosomal RNA", at positions 29 to 507 of the family's 1533-position model. The record is from RNAcentral.
AACGAACGCUGGCGGCAUGCCUAACACAUGCAAGUCGAACGAGACCUUCGGGUCUAGUGGCGCACGGGUGCGUAACGCGUGGGAACCUGCCCUUAGGUUCGGAAUAACUCCCCGAAAGGGGUGCUAAUAGCGGAUAAUGUCUUCGGACCAAAGAUUUAUCGCAUUUGGAUGGGCCCGCGUUGGAUUAGCUAGUUGGUAGGGUAAAAGCCUACCAAGGCGACGAUCCAUAGCUGGUCUGAGAGGAUGAUCAGCCACACUGGGACUGAGACACGGCCCAGACUCCUACGGGAGGCAGCAGUGGGGAAUAUUGGACAAUGGGCGAAAGCCUGAUCCAGCAAUGCCGCGUGAGUGAUGAAGGCCGUAGGGUUGUAAAGCUCUUUUACCCGGGAUGAUAAUGACAGUACCGGGAGAAUAAGCUCCGGCUAACUCCGUG